GUCUACAGCCAUACUACCCUGAAUGCGCCCAAUCUCGUCUGAUCUUGGAAGCUUAAGCAGGUCGGGCCUGGUUAGUAGUGGGAUGGGAGAACAGCAAAAUUAGAAAGAUGAAUAUU
Molecule: ribosomal RNA, 116 nt
Organism: Cavia porcellus (domestic guinea pig)
Lineage: Eukaryota; Metazoa; Chordata; Mammalia; Rodentia; Caviidae
Source: Ensembl